This 465-nucleotide ribosomal RNA is filed under the name Vreelandella stevensii. RNAcentral describes it as "partial 16S ribosomal RNA". It matches the Rfam family "Bacterial small subunit ribosomal RNA", at positions 338 to 795 of the family's 1533-position model. The record is from RNAcentral. Lineage: Bacteria; Pseudomonadati; Pseudomonadota; Gammaproteobacteria; Oceanospirillales; Halomonadaceae.
CCUACGGGAGGCUGCAGUGGGGAAUAUUGGACAAUGGGGGCAACCCCGAUCCAGCCAUGCCGCGUGUGUGAAGAAGGCCCUCGGGUUGUAAAGCACUUUCAGUGAGGAAGAACGCCUGGUGGUUAAUACCCAUCAGGAAAGACAUCACUCACAGAAGAAGCACCGGCUAACUCCGUGCCAGCAGCCGCGGUAAUACGGAGGGUGCGAGCGUUAAUCGGAAUUACUGGGCGUAAAGCGCGCGUAGGUGGCUUGAUAAGCCGGUUGUGAAAGCCCCGGGCUCAACCUGGGAACGGCAUCCGGAACUGUCAAGCUAGAGUGCAGGAGAGGAAGGUAGAAUUCCCGGUGUAGCGGUGAAAUGCGUAGAGAUCGGGAGGAAUACCAGUGGCGAAGGCGGCCUUCUGGACUGACACUGACACUGAGGUGCGAAAGCGUGGGUAGCAAACAGGAUUAGAUACCCUUGUAGUC